AUGUACAGGUCGAGUGACUUCUCCAAGGGAAGGGCACCCAGAUUCCUUGCCCUCAGAUCACUCACACACUUUGUUAUUUGGAUGGCACCCCUGACCUCUGUCUCGUUCCAUGCUACUCCUGUGAAGAUCUGCACCAUGGUCCCCCAUUUCCAUCUCUGUGCGUGGUCCACCAUCCAUCCAGUUUUGCAAGCCAGGUCCCUGGACAAGGUUUUCCACUCCUCAGGUUAUCGGAGGCUUCAGUGCCAGUAGAAAACCAGGCUGAAGCCCUCUCAAGG
This 275-nucleotide long non-coding RNA is filed under the name Sus scrofa (pig). RNAcentral describes it as "lncRNA (ENSSSCG00070003281.1)". The record is from RNAcentral. Lineage: Eukaryota; Metazoa; Chordata; Mammalia; Artiodactyla; Suidae.